This 447-nucleotide ribosomal RNA is filed under the name uncultured bacterium. RNAcentral describes it as "bacterial SSU rRNA". It matches the Rfam family "Bacterial small subunit ribosomal RNA", at positions 329 to 792 of the family's 1533-position model. The record is from RNAcentral.
GUCCAGACUCCUACGGGAGGCAGCAGUGGGGAAUAUUGCACAAUGGGGGAAACCCUGAUGCAGCAACGCCGCGUGAGUGAAGAAGUAUUUCGGUAUGUAAAGCUCUAUCAGCAGGGAAGAAGAAAGACGGUACCUGACUAAGAAGCCCCGGCUAACUACGUGCCAGCAGCCGCGGUAAUACGUAGGGGGCAAGCGUUAUCCGGAUUUACUGGGUGUAAAGGGAGCGCAGACGGCAGUGCAAGUCUGGAGUGAAAGCCCGGGGCCCAACCCCGGAACUGCUCUGGAAACUGUGCGGCUAGAGUACUGGAGGGGCAGGCGGAAUUCCUAGUGUAGCGGUGAAAUGCGUAGAUAUUAGGAGGAACACCAGUGGCGAAGGCGGCCUGCUGGACAGUAACUGACGUUGAGGCUCGAAAGCGUGGGGAGCAAACAGGAUUAGAUACCCGAGUA